Molecule: ribosomal RNA, 253 nt
Filed under: uncultured bacterium
Lineage: Bacteria
Description: partial 16S ribosomal RNA
Rfam family: Bacterial small subunit ribosomal RNA
Source: RNAcentral
UACGUAGGGUGCGAGCGUUGUCCGGAAUUACUGGGCGUAAAGAGCUCGUAGGUGGUUUGUCGCGUUGUUCGUGAAAACUCACGGCUUAACUGUGAGCGUGCGGGCGAUACGGGCAGACUAGAGUACUGCAGGGGAGACUGGAAUUCCCGGUGUAGCGGUGGAAUGCGCAGAUAUCAGGAGGAACACCGGUGGCGAAGGCGGGUCUCUGGGCAGUAACUGACGCUGAGGAGCGAAAGCGUGGGGAGCGAACAGG